CACUUCGGAUGGCUUCUGUCAAAGUGUGAUCUCCGAGUUAAGAUUUUUGCGUAGCGAACACCAAGACUACUGUUAGAAACCUUGGAGUGGUCAGUGACGAGCAUGACAAACAGUUUCAUCAGAUUUCUGAAAUGGAAAAGGGAAACCAAGGCAGGUGGAAUCUCAGUAGGCUUGCUGAGUACUGCUGGACCCUUAAAGGGGAUAUUCCUGAAGUUAAGUACAGCAGAAAAUUGUACACUUCAACCUUCUAGACCAAAUUCGGAAUAUUCCGCCUGGCUCCCAUGACGUCACUACCAAUUCCACCCCAGAAAGUCGUCACUUCCAGUUCCACCCCAGAAAGACGUCACAUUUCCGGGUUCCUCCUGAAUGACAUCAUUUUCACCCUCCAAAUUUUAAACCACCUUGCCUGUACUAUUAUUUCAGUUCUGUAUUGGACUCUUGUCUGUAAAGACUAUUUCCUCUACUUUUGCAUCCGCGGCCAACUUCCAAGUAUACAGGAGGCUGCCCCAAACCUUUUUUAUUGUGUCAAGGCUUGUUUAUUUACCACAGAACGUAAAGAAUAUAAGCAUUUAGUUUGGGACAUCGGGAGGAAGCAUUGAAUUGCCUGACAGCAGCAGACAGAAAAAAAUCUCAAAGGCAUUUCUUAGCUCACCGUGGUGGAAUGAGCCUUUGGCUAAAAGUGUUCCAGUAGGGGAUAGAGGGGAUCUUUCAUGAUGGCAUCCAAUGUUGUCACCAUUCUCUUUUUUAGAACAGCUUCCAUUGUGUCAUGGGUUAGUCUUAUCUUGGAGCUUCAUCAGGCAUUGGCUGUCAUUUGAACUCAAGAUGUUUCCCCAGGAGGCCACAGGGUAGAACAAUGCACUGGCUGCUAUGGACUUGGACCGAUAGAAUAUCUUCAGCAGCUUGCUGCAUACAUGAAAACA
Erpetoichthys calabaricus (reedfish) is the source of this 920-nucleotide long non-coding RNA. RefSeq lists it as uncharacterized. The transcript is spliced from 3 exons. NCBI's taxonomy places the organism in Eukaryota, Metazoa, Chordata, Cladistia, Polypteriformes, Polypteridae. The record is from RefSeq and is a predicted model, not a curated record.